CGUGUAGGCGGUUUGGUAAGUCUGAUGUGAAAGCCCCGGGCUCAACCUGGGAAGUGCAUUGGAAACUGUCAGACUUGAAUACGGGAGAGGGUAGUGGAAUUCCUGGUGUAGGAGUGAAAUCCGUAGAUAUCAGGAGGAACACCGGUGGCGAAGGCGGCUGCCUGGACCGAUAUUGACGCUGAGACGCGAAAGCGUGGGUAGCAAACAGGAUUAGAUACCCUGGUAGUCCACGCCGUAAACGAUGAGUACUAGGUGUUGCGGGUAUUGACCCCUGCAGUGCCGCAGCUAACGCAUUAAGUACUCCGCCUGGGAAGUACGGUCGCAAGACUAAAA
Molecule: ribosomal RNA, 333 nt
Filed under: uncultured bacterium
Lineage: Bacteria
Description: bacterial SSU rRNA
Rfam family: Bacterial small subunit ribosomal RNA
Source: RNAcentral